UUCUACAACCAUACCACCCUGAAUGCACCCGAUCUUGUCUGAUCUCGGAAGCUAAGCAGGGUCAGGCCUGGUUAGUACUUGGAUGGGAAGAAGAAUUACUAAAGUGGUUUACA
Molecule: ribosomal RNA, 113 nt
Filed under: Octodon degus (degu)
Lineage: Eukaryota; Metazoa; Chordata; Mammalia; Rodentia; Octodontidae
Source: RNAcentral